UACGUAGGGAGCAAGCGUUGUCCGGAAUCAUUGGGCGUAAAGCGCGCGUAGGUGGCUUCGUAAGUCCGUUGUGAAAGUCAAAGGCUCAACCUUUGAAAGCCGAUGGAUACUGCGGAGCUAGAGUACGGAAGAGGCGAGUGGAAUUCCUGGUGUAGCGGUGGAAUGCGCAGAUAUCAGGAGGAACACCAAUAGCGAAGGCAGCUCGCUGGGACGUUACUGACAGCUGAGGCGCGAAAGCGUGGGGAGCGAACAGGAUUAGAU
RNAcentral lists this ribosomal RNA (261 nucleotides) under uncultured bacterium. RNAcentral's name for it is "partial 16S ribosomal RNA". It matches the Rfam family "Bacterial small subunit ribosomal RNA", at positions 524 to 783 of the family's 1533-position model. The record is from RNAcentral.